AAUAUAUAAAUAAAUUUUCUUUGAAUAACCAGUUUUAAACAGCGUGGUGUAAUUUUUUUUAAUCUACACUAUGCUACCUGUCUACUGGUACAUAA
Cajanus cajan (pigeon pea) is the source of this 95-nucleotide non-coding RNA. Lineage: Eukaryota; Viridiplantae; Streptophyta; Magnoliopsida; Fabales; Fabaceae. The record is from Rfam.